AGAUUUCCGAAUGGGGAAACCCAGCAUGAGUUAUGUCAUGUUAUCGAUAUGUGAAUACAUAGCAUAUCAGAAGGCACACCCGGAGAUCUUAGUACCCGGAGGAAGAGAAAGAAAAUUCGAUUCCCUUAGUAGCGGCGAGCGAAACGGGAAGAGCCCAAACCAACAAGCUUGCUUGUUGGGGUUGUAGGACACUCUAUACGGAGUUACAAAGGACGACAUUAGACGAAUCAUCUGGAAAGAUGAAUCAAAGAAGGUAAUAAUCCUGUAGUCGAAAAUGUUGUCUCUCUUGAGUGGAUCCUGAGUACGACGGAGCACGUGAAAUUCCGUCGGAAUCUGGGAGGACCAUCUCCUAAGGCUAAAUACUCUCUAGUGACCGAUAGUGAACCAGUACCGUGAGGGAAAGGUGAAAAGCACCCCGGAAGGGGAGUGAAAUAGAACCUGAAACCGUGUGCUUACAAGUAGUCAGAGCCCGUUAAUGGGUGAUGGCGUGCCUUUUGUAGAAUGAACCGGCGAGUUACGAUUUGAUGCAAGGUUAAGCAGUAAAUGUGGAGCCGUAGCGAAAGCGAGUCUGAAUAGGGCGUUUAGUAUUUGGUCGUAGACCCGAAACCAGGUGAUCUACCCUUGGUCAGGUUGAAGUUCAGGUAACACUGAAUGGAGGACCGAACCGACUUACGUUGAAAAGUGAGCGGAUGAACUGAGGGUAGCGGAGAAAUUCCAAUCGAACCUGGAGAUAGCUGGUUCUCUCCGAAAUAGCUUUAGGGCUAGCCUCAAGUGAUGAUUAUUGGAGGUAGAGCACUGUUUGGACGAGGGGCCCCUCUCGGGUUACCGAAUUCAGACAAACUCCGAAUGCCAAUUAAUUUAACUUGGGAGUCAGAACAUGGGUGAUAAGGUCCGUGUUCGAAAGGGAAACAGCCCAGACCACCAGCUAAGGUCCCAAAAUAUAUGUUAAGUGGAAAAGGAUGUGGCGUUGCCCAGACAACUAGGAUGUUGGCUUAGAAGCAGCCAUCAUUUAAAGAGUGCGUAAUAGCUCACUAGUCGAGUGACACUGCGCCGAAAAUGUACCGGGGCUAAACAUAUUACCGAAGCUGUGGAUUGUCCUUUGGACAAUGGUAGGAGAGCGUUCUAAGGGCGUUGAAGCAUGAUCGUAAGGACAUGUGGAGCGCUUAGAAGUGAGAAUGCCGGUGUGAGUAGCGAAAGACGGGUGAGAAUCCCGUCCACCGAUUGACUAAGGUUUCCAGAGGAAGGCUCGUCCGCUCUGGGUUAGUCGGGUCCUAAGCUGAGGCCGACAGGCGUAGGCGAUGGAUAACAGGUUGAUAUUCCUGUACCACCUAUAAUCGUUUUAAUCGAUGGGGGGACGCAGUAGGAUAGGCGAAGCGUGCGAUUGGAUUGCACGUCUAAGCAGUAAGGCUGAGUAUUAGGCAAAUCCGGUACUCGUUAAGGCUGAGCUGUGAUGGGGAGAAGACAUUGUGUCUUCGAGUCGUUGAUUUCACACUGCCGAGAAAAGCCUCUAGAUAGAAAAUAGGUGCCCGUACCGCAAACCGACACAGGUAGUCAAGAUGAGAAUUCUAAGGUGAGCGAGCGAACUCUCGUUAAGGAACUCGGCAAAAUGACCCCGUAACUUCGGGAGAAGGGGUGCUCUUUAGGGUUAACGCCCAGAAGAGCCGCAGUGAAUAGGCCCAAGCGACUGUUUAUCAAAAACACAGGUCUCUGCUAAACCGUAAGGUGAUGUAUAGGGGCUGACGCCUGCCCGGUGCUGGAAGGUUAAGAGGAGUGGUUAGCUUCUGCGAAGCUACGAAUCGAAGCCCCAGUAAACGGCGGCCGUAACUAUAACGGUCCUAAGGUAGCGAAAUUCCUUGUCGGGUAAGUUCCGACCCGCACGAAAGGCGUAACGAUUUGGGCACUGUCUCAACGAGAGACUCGGUGAAAUCAUAGUACCUGUGAAGAUGCAGGUUACCCGCGACAGGACGGAAAGACCCCGUGGAGCUUUACUGUAGCCUGAUAUUGAAAUUCGGCACAGCUUGUACAGGAUAGGUAGGAGCCUUUGAAACGUGAGCGCUAGCUUACGUGGAGGCGCUGGUGGGAUACUACCCUAGCUGUGUUGGCUUUCUAACCCGCACCACUUAUCGUGGUGGGAGACAGUGUCAGGCGGGCAGUUUGACUGGGGCGGUCGCCUCCUAAAAGGUAACGGAGGCGCUCAAAGGUUCCCUCAGAAUGGUUGGAAAUCAUUCAUAGAGUGUAAAGGCAUAAGGGAGCUUGACUGCGAGACCUACAAGUCGAGCAGGGUCGAAAGACGGACUUAGUGAUCCGGUGGUUCCGCAUGGAAGGGCCAUCGCUCAACGGAUAAAAGCUACCCCGGGGAUAACAGGCUUAUCUCCCCCAAGAGUUCACAUCGACGGGGAGGUUUGGCACCUCGAUGUCGGCUCAUCGCAUCCUGGGGCUGUAGUCGGUCCCAAGGGUUGGGCUGUUCGCCCAUUAAAGCGGUACGCGAGCUGGGUUCAGAACGUCGUGAGACAGUUCGGUCCCUAUCCGUCGUGGGCGUAGGAAAUUUGAGAGGAGCUGUCCUUAGUACGAGAGGACCGGGAUGGACAUACCUCUGGUGUACCAGUUGUCGUGCCAACGGCAUAGCUGGGUAGCUAUGUGUGGACGGGAUAAGUGCUGAAAGCAUCUAAGCAUGAAGCCCCCCUCAAGAUGAGAUUUCCCAACUUCGGUUAUAAGAUCCCUCAAAGAUGAUGAGGUUAAUAGGUUCGAGGUGGAAGCAUGGUGACAUGUGGAGCUGACGAAUACUAAUCGAUCGAAGACUUAAUCAA
RNAcentral lists this ribosomal RNA (2807 nucleotides) under Staphylococcus aureus. RNAcentral describes it as "bacterial LSU rRNA". It matches the Rfam family "Bacterial large subunit ribosomal RNA". Lineage: Bacteria; Bacillati; Bacillota; Bacilli; Caryophanales; Staphylococcaceae. The record is from RNAcentral.